Molecule: ribosomal RNA, 424 nt
Filed under: uncultured beta proteobacterium
Lineage: Bacteria; Pseudomonadati; Pseudomonadota; Betaproteobacteria
Description: bacterial SSU rRNA
Rfam family: Bacterial small subunit ribosomal RNA
Source: RNAcentral
AAAGACCUUAUGCUUUUGGAGCGGCCGAUGUCUGAUUAGCUAGUUGGUAGGGUAAUGGCUUACCAAGGCGACGAUCAGUAGUUGGUCUGAGAGGACGGCCAGCCACACUGGGACUGAGACACGGCCCAGACUCCUACGGGAGGCAGCAGUGGGGAAUUUUGGACAAUGGGCGCAAGCCUGAUCCAGCAAUGCCGCGUGAGUGAAGAAGGCCUUCGGGUUGUAAAGCUCUUUCAGUUGAAAAGAAAAAGUUGUGACUAAUAAUCAUAACUCAUGACGGUAUCAACAGAAGAAGCACCGGCUAACUACGUGCCAGCAGCCGCGGUAAUACGUAGGGUGCAAGCGUUAAUCGGAAUUACUGGGCGUAAAGGGUGCGCAGGCGGUUCUGUAAGUCAGAUGUGAAAUCCCCGGGCUUAACCUGGGAACU